AUGGAGCACGCCGACGACCCUGUCAUUGACGUUGUUCCCCUGGCCAACGCUCCCCCCGUCCCUGCUGCUGGCGCUCCCCGGUCGCCUGCCACCACGCCACCUGCUACCGCGCCGUUGGUCGCCUCCCCAGCUCUCCCACCUCCUGCUCCCGCAGUCGCCGCUGCGUCCCUGCCUUCCUUCUUCCCGUCGUUGGUCCUUCAGACUGGCGACAUUCGCCGUCAUGUGCUGGUCACGCUCGACCUGCUCGCCGGCAACUAUACGCAAUGGGACCGCCACUUUGACACUGUCAUCGGCAUGUUUGGUCUGCGCGAUCACGUCGACUCCGCGGCGGUCUCUCGCCUCGACGACCCCGAGUGGCUGAUGGCGGAUCACGUCAUGGUGCACUGGCUCUACACCACCAUCUCGCCGGAGCUCCUCGACGAUGUCAUGCAGCCGGAGGACACCGCGCUCGUCGUGUGGACGGCCGUCGACGACAUCUUCCACGACAACCACCUUACACACGCCUUCUACGUCGACGCCGAGUACCACGCGCUGGUGCAAGGAGACAUGUCGAUCAUGCAGUACUGCACACGGUUGAAGACCUUCACCGACCAACUGCGCGACCUCGGCCAGCCCGUCUCCGAGCCCCGCCAGGUCUUUCAUCUCCUUUGUGGGUUGAGCCGGCAGUAUCACUCCGCCAUCCCGAACAUCACCUCUCAGGUUCCGCUCCCCUCCUUCCUGCAAGUUCGCUCCUUCUUACUGCUGGAGGAACACCGUGCAGAGCAGACCGCACGCAUUCAGUCCACCCACGCCCUCGUCGCCGGGCGCGGCUCCGCUCCUGCACCAGCACCUCCUGCGCCAGCCUCCGACAACACCCGUGGGCGCGGCCGUUCUCGUCGCUGUGGCUGUGGAGGUUCUUCCCCGACACCACCUGUGGCUCCGCGUCCGCCCAGCGUUCCUGCUCCGGCGCCCGGCGCCAACUCGUGGACGGGUCUCAUCCAGGCCUAG
This 987-nucleotide ribosomal RNA is filed under the name Triticum aestivum (bread wheat). Its description in RNAcentral is "partial small subunit ribosomal RNA". Lineage: Eukaryota; Viridiplantae; Streptophyta; Magnoliopsida; Poales; Poaceae. The record is from RNAcentral.